AAAUGUAUAUAUACGUAUCAGUUAGGUUGCAAAAAAAGGAAUUAAAAAGUGAAGCACACGAAAAAAGGGGAAGAAAGGAAUCGAUUCUAGGACAAAGAAGAGAAAAAGAUAUCAGGGAAUGACAAUAACGAUUCAAGAAAAAUUGGUAAAGAUCAAAAUGAGGAUUCAAGAAUACAGCCAGAAAAUGUAGAUAAUGUGGUAAAAGAUAUAAUUUGAACUUUCUUUGCGAAUGCCUACUAUGGGCUAUUUUCAACAAGGAAUGGGAAAGCGAUGGUUGGUCUCGGAGUGGGCACAAGUAAUUAAUAAACAAACAAACAAAGAAAAGAGAAGUAGCAACUGCGUUCAAAGGUAACAAAGAUGCGGGUGGGGAUUUUAAGAAGGAAAGAAAUGAAUUAGAUAAAUAAACGUAUCAAUGUUUUGUUACGGUCGAUAGGUUUAUUGGCGCGGAUGAUGGCAGCUGUGUGUCCUAUUAAGAUGGAAAAUGCGAACGGUAAGAGAAACAAUUGGCAAGGAUGGAGUAAUGGAAAAGAAGUAAAUG
This is a non-coding RNA of Schizosaccharomyces pombe (fission yeast), 538 nucleotides long. The record is from the annotation of a GenBank genome assembly. Lineage: Eukaryota; Fungi; Ascomycota; Schizosaccharomycetes; Schizosaccharomycetales; Schizosaccharomycetaceae.